GGCGGACGGGUUAGUAACGCGUGGGAACGUGCCCUUCUCUACGGAAUAGCCUCUGGAAACGGAGAGUAAUACCGUAUACGCCCUUUGGGGGAAAGAUUUAUCGGAGAAGGAUCGGCCCGCGUUAGAUUAGGUAGUUGGUGGGGUAACGGCCUACCAAGCCUACGAUCUAUAGCUGGUUUUAGAGGAUGAUCAGCAACACUGGGACUGAGACACGGCCCAGACUCCUACGGGAGGCAGCAGUGGGGAAUCUUAGACAAUGGGGGCAACCCUGAUCUAGCCAUGCCGCGUGAGUGAUGAAGGCCUUAGGGUCGUAAAGCUCUUUCGCCUGUGAUGAUAAUGACAGUAGCAGGUAAAGAAACCCCGGCUAACUCCGUGCCAGCAGCCGCGGUAAUACGGAGGGUGCGAGCGUUAAUCGGAAUUACUGGGCGUAAAGCGUAC
RNAcentral lists this ribosomal RNA (438 nucleotides) under uncultured Leisingera sp. RNAcentral describes it as "bacterial SSU rRNA". It matches the Rfam family "Bacterial small subunit ribosomal RNA", at positions 97 to 570 of the family's 1533-position model. Lineage: Bacteria; Pseudomonadati; Pseudomonadota; Alphaproteobacteria; Rhodobacterales; Roseobacteraceae. The record is from RNAcentral.